AGAUUGAACGCUGGCGGAAUGCUUUACACAUGCAAGUCGAGCGGCAGCGCGGGGGCAACCCUGGCGGCGAGCGGCGAACGGGUGAGUAAUACAUCGGAACAUGUCCAGUUGUGGGGGAUAGCCCGGCGAAAGCCGGAUUAAUACCGCAUGAGCUCGAGAGAGGAAAGCGGGGGACCGUAAGGCCUCGCGCGACUGGGUUGGCCGAUGUCCGAUUAGCUAGUUGGUGGGGUAAAAGGCCUAACCAAGGCGAUGAUCGGUAGCUGGUCUGAGAGGAUGAUCAGCCACACUGGGACUGAGACACGGCCCAGACUCCUACGGGAGGCAGCAGUGGGGAAUUUUGGAC
This 343-nucleotide ribosomal RNA is filed under the name uncultured soil bacterium. RNAcentral describes it as "bacterial SSU rRNA". It matches the Rfam family "Bacterial small subunit ribosomal RNA", at positions 26 to 369 of the family's 1533-position model. The record is from RNAcentral.